UCGGCUAAGGUUUCAUGGCGGUCUCUGUAAUACCAACACCACUUCAAUGGCGUCCUGUUGGUGACGAUAAUGUUAACGGUCUCUUCACCCACCGUUCAUUAAUCUCCACUCCGCUGCCGUGCCGUCGGCUUUCAACCGUCGUAUGCUCGUCAUCUCUCAAAUCGCCUAAAUCUAACGAGGAGACGAGGGAGUUACUCAAACAAUACGGUCUUGAUCCCGACGAAUUCCUCUCUGAACCUACUCCUUCGAAGACGAGAAGGAAUAAAGAGCAGCAAAAGAGUGGAAGAGGGAAGCAGGUCGCACCACCACAGGAACAAGCUAAGCCCAGGGAGACUCAUAAAUUGCUUCAGGUUCUUGGAGGGAAGGCACGAAGGAAGAAAUUACUCUCACCAAAGGGCAUGGAUGUCCGCCCAAUGAUGGAAGUAGUCAAAGGUGCCGCCUUUGGUAUUUUGCAGGCUGCUGGUGGCUGUCCUACAUCCUUGAGGCCUGGUCGAUGGUUAGACUUAUAUAGCGGUACAGGGUCUGUUGGCAUAGAGGCUAUAAGCCGAGGAUGCUCUGAGGUGCAUUUUGUGGAGAUGGAUCCAUGGGUUGUUUCUGACGUUCUUCGUCCUAAUUUAGAAUGGACUGGCUUUCUUGAUAAUUCGGUUAUACACACAGUUCGUGUAGAAACUUACUUGGAGCGUGCCAAAGAAUCUGCAGGCAAAGAUGGUCCAUUUGAUUACAUUAGUGUCACACCUCCAUAUACGCAAGUGGAUUACAAGAUCUUAAUGAAUCAAAUUACAGAAUCAUCUGUGAUCGGAGAUGAUUCUUUUAUGCUUGUGGAGUAUCCAUUCCGAACCGACAUGCUGGAAACAUAUGGGGGUCUUGUCAAGUUAGCUGAUCGCCGGUUUGGAAGGACACACCUAGCAAUAUACGGUCCCAAGUGGGCACAAAAGAAGCGAAGAUCAUGAGCUUCAAAUCAGAUUGAAGUCGGAGCCUUUUGGUUGGGCUACGGCAGAUCUACUUUACAGAAUCAAGGUGUACGCAAGUUCAAAAUACUCGUUCAGUUGGUGUUCAUACUUACCGUUGUUACCUUGAUCAACCUCAGCAUAUUUGCACGGAGUAGGGAAGAUGAGUGAGAUCACAAAUGCACAUGACAAAGCAUCGUUUCUACAAUCACACAAGUCGCAAUUCCGCCCACUGCACGUGUUGGUGUUUCCAAUUCAAAAGGAGGAGCAGCAACAAGAAGGCACGAAAGGCUGGCUCUGAACUACGUGAGCAAAAGACGAGUACCAAAUGGACCUGAUCCUAUUCACAACAGGAAAAUCGGAAACGCCACACAACCGCCUGAACGAGACUAAGUUUGACAUAAAACGACUUGUGUACAUGGAAAUAUGUCCGGGAACCAACGUAGAAGAGCCACACGAAGUUUCUACGGAUUUCCUUCCAUUCUCAAAAAACCCGUUACAUAAUCUUUUACACUCGAGAUAGCGAUCAUGAUACCUCAUCCGACAUCCAUGACAUGUUUUUUUGUUCGGUUUUACGAAAGAAAGUAUGAAGCUUUUUUAAAAGGUGGUGUUAAGGGUGUUUUUGGUGUAGUUCUUUUAAGUUUGAAUUGAAAGAUUCAUGGAUUUGGGGAUGUUUAAAUUUUAGAUGGAAAAAAGGAAUGAAAUCUAAUAGAAUUUGUGUGAGAGAUGUGUAGUAAAAAAGAUGCAUUGUUAAAAGGAGAAUUGUCUUUGCUUUUUUAGCUUUGAGCUUUAAGGGGUUGGCUUUAUUCCU
Molecule: RNA transcript, 1758 nt
Organism: Cynara cardunculus var. scolymus (artichoke)
Lineage: Eukaryota; Viridiplantae; Streptophyta; Magnoliopsida; Asterales; Asteraceae
Gene name: putative rRNA methyltransferase YlbH
Exons: 12
Source: RefSeq, a predicted model, not a curated record